RNAcentral lists this ribosomal RNA (467 nucleotides) under uncultured bacterium. RNAcentral's name for it is "partial 16S ribosomal RNA". It matches the Rfam family "Bacterial small subunit ribosomal RNA", at positions 29 to 507 of the family's 1533-position model. The record is from RNAcentral.
ACGAACGCUGGCGGCGUGCUUAACACAUGCAAGUCGAACGGAAAGGCCCUGCUUUUGUGGGGUGCUCGAGUGGCGAACGGGUGAGUAACACGUUAGUAACCUGCCCUUUACUUUUGGAUUACUUCAGGAAACUGGGGCUAAUACCGGAUAGGAGCUCCUGCUGCAUGGUGGGGGUUGGAAAGUUUCGGCGGUUGGGGAUGGACUCGCGGCUUAUCAGCUUGUUGGUGGGGUAGUGGCUUACCAAGGCUUUUACGGGUAGCCGGCCUGAGAGGGUGACCGGCCACAUUGGGACUGAGAUACGGCCCAGACUCCUACGGGAGGCAGCAGUGGGGAAUAUUGCACAAUGGGCGGAAGCCUGAUGCAGCAACGCCGCGUGCGGGAUGACGGCCUUCGGGUUGUAAACCGCUUUCGCCUGUGACGAAGAGUGAGUGACGGUAAUGGGUAAAGAAGCACCGGCUAACUACGUG